GGGAAGUAGCUUGCUACUUUUGCCGGCGAGCGGCGGUCGGGUGAGUAAUGCCUGGGAAAUUGCCCAGUCGAGGGGGAUAACAGUUGGAAACGACUGCUAAUACCGCAUACGCCCUACGGGGGAAAGCAGGGGACCUUCGGGCCUUGCGCGAUUGGAUAUGCCCAGGUGGGAUUAGCUAGUUGGUGAGGUAAUGGCUCACCAAGGCGACGAUCCCUAGCUGGUCUGAGAGGAUGAUCAGCCACACUGGAACUGAGACACGGUCCAGACUCCUACGGGAGGCAGCAGUGGGGAAUAUUGCACAAUGGGGGAAACCCUGAUGCAGCCAUGCCGCGUGUGUGAAGAAGGCCUUCGGGUUGUAAAGCACUUUCAGCGAGGAGGAAAGGUUGAUGCCUAAUACGUAUCAACUGUGACGUUACUCGCAGAAGAAGCACCGGCUAACUCCGUGCCAGCAGCCGCGGUAAUACGGAGGGUACAAGCGUUAAUCGGAAUUACUGGGCGUAAAGCGCACGCAGGCGGUUGGAUAAGUUAGAUGUGAAAGCCCCGGGCUCAACCUGGGAAUUGCAUUUAAAACUGUCCAGCUAGAGUCUUGUAGAGGGGGGUAGAAUUCCAGGUGUAGCGGUGAAAUGCGUAGAGAUCUGGAGGAAUACCGGUGGCGAAGGCGGCCCCCUGGACAAAGACUGACGCUCAGGUGCGAAAGCGUGGGGAG
RNAcentral lists this ribosomal RNA (706 nucleotides) under uncultured bacterium. Its description in RNAcentral is "bacterial SSU rRNA". It matches the Rfam family "Bacterial small subunit ribosomal RNA", at positions 70 to 768 of the family's 1533-position model. The record is from RNAcentral.